UACAGAGGGUGCAAGCGUUGUUCGGAAUUACUGGGCGUAAAGCGUGCGUAGUCGGUAUUGAGAGUCGCGGGUGAAAUCCCAGGGCUUAACCCUGGAACUGCCUGCGAGACCUCAGUACUAGAGUGUGAGAGGGGAUAGUGGUAUACCCAGUGUAGCGGUGAAAUGCGCAGAUAUCAGGAGGAACACCGGUGGCGAAGGCGGGUCUCUGGGCCGAUACUGACGCUGAGGAGCGAAAGCGUGGGGAGCGAACAGG
RNAcentral lists this ribosomal RNA (253 nucleotides) under uncultured bacterium. RNAcentral's name for it is "partial 16S ribosomal RNA". It matches the Rfam family "Bacterial small subunit ribosomal RNA", at positions 524 to 776 of the family's 1533-position model. The record is from RNAcentral.